RNAcentral lists this ribosomal RNA (256 nucleotides) under uncultured bacterium. Its description in RNAcentral is "partial 16S ribosomal RNA". It matches the Rfam family "Bacterial small subunit ribosomal RNA", at positions 521 to 776 of the family's 1533-position model. The record is from RNAcentral.
UAAUACGAAGGGUCCAAGCGUUAUCCGGAUUCAUUGGGUUUAAAGGGUGCGCAGGCGGGGCCUUAAGUCAGUGGUGAAAUCUCUUCGCUCAACGAAGAAACUGCCAUUGAUACUGAGGUUCUUGAAUCUAGUUGACGUUAGUGGAAUGUGUCAUGUAGCGGUGAAAUGCUUAGAUAUGACACAGAACACCGAUCGCGAAGGCAGCUAACGAAGCUAGUAUUGACGCUCAGGCACGACAGCAUGGGGAGCAAACAGG